Apteryx haastii (Great spotted kiwi) is the source of this 1927-nucleotide long non-coding RNA. The record is from Ensembl. NCBI's taxonomy places the organism in Eukaryota, Metazoa, Chordata, Aves, Apterygiformes, Apterygidae.
GGCAAAGCUCGAAGCCAAGCGUUGCAGGGACAGCGUGAAGCUGAGCGUUGCAGAGGUGGCUGGAAAAUGAGCACUGCGAGCACAGCUCCAAGCCGAGCACGGCAGGGACGGCUCGAAGCUGAGCUUUGCAAGCACGACUCAAAAAUGAGCAUUGCAAGCGCGGCUCCAAGCUGAGUGUCACAGAGACGGCUCCAAGCCAAGCAUUGCACGCAUGGCCUGAAGCCGAGUGCGGCAGGGACGGCUCGAAAAUGAGCAUUGCAGGCAAAGCUCAAAGCCAAGUGUUGCAAACACAGCUCGAAAAUGAGCAUUCAGGCACGGCUCCAAGCCGAGUGUUGCAGGGACGGCUUGAAAAUGAGCACUGCGAGCACGGCUCGAAGCUGAACGUGGCCGGGACAGCGUGAAGCCGAGCGUGGCAGGGAUAGUUUGAAAAUUAGCAUUGCAAGCACGGUUCAAAGAUGAGCAUUACAGGGACGGCUUGAAGCUGAGCGUGGCAGGGACAGCUCAAAAAUGAGCAUCGCAGGCACAGUGUGAAGCUGAGCUUUGCAGAGACGGCUCAAAAAUGAGCCUGGCAAGCACAGCUCGAAGCCAAGCAUUGCAAAAACAGCUCGAAAAUGAGCGUUCAGGCACGGCUCCAAGCCGAGCAUCGCAGGGACAGCGUGAAGCCGAGCGUUGCAAGCACGGCUCGAAGCUGAGCGUGGCAGGGACGGCUCGAAAACAAGCACUGCAUGCAUGGCUCGAAGCCGAGCUUUGCAAGCACGGCUUGAAAAUGAGCUUUGCAAGCACGACUCCAAGCCGAGCGUUGCAGGGACGGCUGAAAAACGAGCGUUGCGCGCGUGGCUCAAAGCCGAGCUUCGCAGAGGUGGCUGGAAAAUGAACGUCGCAAGCACAGCUCGAAGCCGAGCACGGCAGGGACAGCGUGAAGCUGAGCGUUGCAAGCAUGUCUUGAAUCUGAGCGUGGCAGGGACGGCUCAAAAAUGAGCAUUGCGCCCAUGCCUCGAAGCCGAGCGUUGCAAGCACGGCUUGAAAAUAAGCGUUGCAAGCACAGCUCCAAGCCGAGCGUUGCAGGGACGGCUUGGAAACGAGCGUUACAGGCAAAGCUCAAAAACGAGCGUUGCACGCGCAGCUCCAAGCCGACCGUUGCACGCCCGGCGCGGUUCGCCAACGUUUUGGGGCCGGGGCCCCGCUUCUCCCGGCCCGGCCUGCAAACGCCCCGCAGCGCCGCGCUGCGCCGAGCCGCCGCACGCUCCCUGCGAGGCCGCGUUUCUCCCCCUGCCGCCCGGGAUCGCYGCAGCCCCCCUCCGUCCUCCCGCUGUGCCUGUGCCGCAGGCCGGCCCCCGCCGUUUGGGGGGUCGGUUUUGCAGAAAGAGAGCAGGGGAUUUGCAAAAUUUGGAGGGGUUUGCACCCCUUUUAGCCGUUUGCGGGGUCGGUUUUGCAGAAAGAGCAGGGGAUUUGCAAAAUUUGGAGGGGUUUGCACCCCUUUUAGCCAUUUGGGGUGUCGGUUUUGCAGAAAGAGCCUGGGAUUUGCAAAAUUUGGAGGGGUUUGCACCCCUUUUAGCCGUUUGGGAGGGCGGUUUUGCAAAGAGGGCAGGGAAUUUGCGCCCGUUGGAGGGUUUUAGGGGUCUUUUUUGCAAAGAAGGCCUGGGAUUUGCAACCUCGGAGGGGUUUGCGGGUCAUUUUUGCAAGAAGAGCCCGGCAUCGGCACCCUUCGGAGUCACUCCGGGUCCCGGCGUCGCGCCUCCCGCCAGCUCCAUUGCGAGGACGCCGCCCUCCCGGCUCGGUGACCCCGUCUACUCCCUUCGCCGACCUCGGGGAUGUCACCGGCUGCGGCAGCAGGUCGGGGCGGGUCGCGCCGGCGCCCUCCRUCCUCCUCUUCGUAGCGGGGCGAAGGCCUGCGGAAAUAAAGGCUGCGUCCCGCCUUCGCUCCCCA